AUUCCAUGAUGGGGACAUUCUAGGAUGCAGUCUUGAAAGCGCUCCCAUGCUUCUGGAACAGAUUCAUCAUUUUGUUGCUGAAAACUUGUAAUCUUCCCACGGAGAGC
RNAcentral lists this small nucleolar RNA (107 nucleotides) under Sorghum bicolor (sorghum). Its description in RNAcentral is "Plant small nucleolar RNA R71". It matches the Rfam family "Plant small nucleolar RNA R71". Rfam says of the family: R71 is a member of the C/D box family of snoRNAs containing the C (UGAUGA) and D (CUGA) box motifs. The record is from Rfam by way of RNAcentral. Lineage: Eukaryota; Viridiplantae; Streptophyta; Magnoliopsida; Poales; Poaceae.